Molecule: long non-coding RNA, 704 nt
Organism: Papaver somniferum (opium poppy)
Lineage: Eukaryota; Viridiplantae; Streptophyta; Magnoliopsida; Ranunculales; Papaveraceae
Exons: 5
Source: RefSeq, a predicted model, not a curated record
UUUUGCAGGCGAACAUGAAGCUGCUCUAGCAGUUCAAGAUCCUAAAUAGUCAGCGGCUGUGGCUCUCAGUACGAUUGAGCUGGGUGUUUUGUGCGACUGAUCAGUGCUCAUACAUUCCUUCACGCAUUUGUGGCACUUAAGCAUUCAGGUUGUUUACAAUUCAAAUUUUUUAUCUUUAACUACGCUUUUCCUCUACCUUGGAUAUCCUCUCAGAGAUUUCAGAGGAAGCUCAUGAAUGUCGGGAGAAUUGGAUAAAUCUUGGAUAUUUGAGAAUGAUAGAUUUGGUAAAGUAUACAGAGAUGGGGUGAAAUUUUCUUUCAAUAUGCGUAUACACAUGGUUCUUGUAGAUGAACCACAUUUGGAUUGUUUGCUUAACGUUUAUGGUUCCAAGAGACCAAGAAUGGUGCCAAAGAAAACGAGAAUAGCCAUAAUGUAGGUUCUGAUGAAGAGCCUUGGAUCAUUUGCAUCAAACAGAGGAAGAUCAUGGUGUGACAUCUGAGACAACUCGAACUUUUCUUGAAACGGAACAGGGGUAUACUUCUCUUGUGAAAGAAGACUUAUUGCAGAUAAACUUUGUUAACUGCAUUUUCAUUUCUCUGUGGUGUUAUUACUGGCAGGAUUCUUCGUGUUCAUAGUUAAUGAACUUUGUUAUAGUUGAUGUUUCAGAGUGGAUAUAAAGCAUGAUCACAUGAGUGACUAAAUUG